RNAcentral lists this ribosomal RNA (765 nucleotides) under uncultured bacterium. Its description in RNAcentral is "bacterial SSU rRNA". It matches the Rfam family "Bacterial small subunit ribosomal RNA", at positions 8 to 796 of the family's 1533-position model. The record is from RNAcentral.
AGAGUUUGAUCCUGGCUCAGGACGAACGCUGGCGGCGUUAACACAUGCAAGUCGAGCGCUGAAGCUUCGGGUGGAUGAGCGGCGAACGGGUGAGUAACACGUGGGUGACCUGCCCUCAGCUCUGGGAUAAGCCUGGGAAACUGGGUCUAAUACCGGAUACGACUUCCUGCCGCAUGGUGGGUUGUGGAAAGUUUUUCGGCUGAGGAUGGGCCCGCGGCCUAUCAGCUUGUUGGUGGGGUGAUGGCCUACCAAGGCGACGACGGGUAGCCGGCCUGAGAGGGCGACCGGCCACACUGGGACUGAGACACGGCCCAGACUCCUACGGGAGGCAGCAGUGGGGAAUAUUGCGCAAUGGGCGAAAGCCUGACGCAGCGACGCCGCGUGGGGGAUGACGGCCUUCGGGUUGUAAACCUCUUUCGCCAGGGACGAAGCUAACGUGACGGUACCUGGAUAAGAAGCACCGGCCAACUACGUGCCAGCAGCCGCGGUAAUACGUAGGGUGCGAGCGUUGUCCGGAAUUAUUGGGCGUAAAGAGCUCGUAGGCGGUGUGUCACGUCGGUCGUGAAAACCUGGGGCUUAACUCUGGGCUUGCGGUCGAUACGGGCAUCACUUGAGUUCGGCAGGGGAGACUGGAAUUCCUGGUGUAGCGGUGAAAUGCGCAGAUAUCAGGAGGAACACCGGUGGCGAAGGCGGGUCUCUGGGCCGAUACUGACGCUGAGGAGCGAAAGCGUGGGGAGCGAACAGGAUUAGAUACCCUAGUAGUCC